This 22-nucleotide microRNA is filed under the name Mus musculus (house mouse). Its description in RNAcentral is "mmu-miR-6934-5p". The record is from miRBase by way of RNAcentral. Lineage: Eukaryota; Metazoa; Chordata; Mammalia; Rodentia; Muridae.
UUGGUGGAGACAGCAAGGGUGG